RNAcentral lists this transfer RNA (101 nucleotides) under Annulohypoxylon nitens. Its description in RNAcentral is "tRNA-Leu". It matches the Rfam family "tRNA". Rfam says of the family: Transfer RNA (tRNA) molecules are approximately 80 nucleotides in length. Their secondary structure includes four short double-helical elements and three loops (D, anti-codon, and T loops). Lineage: Eukaryota; Fungi; Ascomycota; Sordariomycetes; Xylariales; Hypoxylaceae. The record is from RNAcentral. RNAcentral also lists the same sequence under 2 other names.
GGCAAGAUGGCCGAGUUGGUUAUGGCGCCAGGUUAAGGUCACCUUAACAUCUUAACAUCCUGGUGGAGCAAUCCGCGUGGGUUCAAGUCCCACUCUUGUCA